AUCGCUUCUCGGCCUUUUGGCUAAGAUCAAGUGUAGUAUCUGUUCUUAUCAGUUUAAUAUCUGAUACGCCCCCGAUUCGGGGCAACGUAUUAAACGCGGAUCCCACAUUUUUAGAACAGGGAGCUGAAUAAGGGGCUCGCUCCGUUCGCUCCACGCAUCGACCCGGUAUUGCAGCGCCUCCGGGAACGGUGCCCCCUUU
RNAcentral lists this small nuclear RNA (199 nucleotides) under Oreochromis niloticus (Nile tilapia). RNAcentral's name for it is "U2 spliceosomal RNA (ENSONIG00000040728.1)". It matches the Rfam family "U2 spliceosomal RNA". Rfam says of the family: U2 is a small nuclear RNA (snRNA) component of the spliceosome (involved in pre-mRNA splicing). Lineage: Eukaryota; Metazoa; Chordata; Actinopteri; Cichliformes; Cichlidae. The record is from Rfam by way of RNAcentral.